GACGAACGCUGGCGGCGUGCCUAACACAUGCAAGUCGAACGGAAAGGCGCUGCGCUUGCGGGGUGCUCGAGUGGCGAACGGGGGAGUAACACGUGAGUAACCCGCCCUUGACUGUGGGAUAACUUCAGGAAACUGGGGCUAAUACCGGAUAGGAGCUCCUGCUGCAUGGUGUGGGUUGGAAAGAGUCGGCGGUUGGGGAUCGACUCGCGGCUUAUCAGCUUGUUGGUGGGGUAGUGGCUUACCAAGGCUUUGACGGGUAGCCGGCCUGAGAGGGUGACCGGCCACAUGGGGACUGAGGUACGGCCCAGACUCCUACGGGAGGCAGCAGGGGGGAGUAUUGCACAAUGGGCGGAAGCCUGAUGCAGCGACGCCGCGUGCGGGAUGACGGCCUUCGGGUGGUAAACCGCUUUCGCCUGUGACGAAGCGUGAGUGACGGUAAUGGGUAAGGAAGCACCGGCUAACUACGUG
This 468-nucleotide ribosomal RNA is filed under the name uncultured bacterium. RNAcentral's name for it is "partial 16S ribosomal RNA". It matches the Rfam family "Bacterial small subunit ribosomal RNA", at positions 28 to 507 of the family's 1533-position model. The record is from RNAcentral.